Long non-coding RNA from Dreissena polymorpha, 708 nucleotides. RefSeq lists it as uncharacterized. NCBI's taxonomy places the organism in Eukaryota, Metazoa, Mollusca, Bivalvia, Myida, Dreissenidae. The transcript is spliced from 2 exons. The record is from RefSeq and is a predicted model, not a curated record.
CUUGAAAAUGUUACGCCGGCCGUACAAACUCUACAAUGACAAAAUGUUACGCCGGCGGUACAAACUAUGCAUAAUCACAGACAGACAUUUCUUAAUGUUACGCCGGCGGUACAAACUCCCUAAGGUUCAUAAUCACACAGACAGAUAAUUCUAAAUGCUACGCCGGCGGUACAAAUUCCCUUAGGUUCAUAAUCACACAGACAGAUAAUUCUUUGAAAAUGUUACGCCAGCGGUACAAACUCCCUAAGGUUCAUAAUCACACAGACAGAUAAUUCUUUGAAAAUGUUACGCCGGCGGUACAAACUCCCUAAGGUUCAUAAUCACACAGACAGAUAAUUCUUUGAAAAUGUUACGCCGGCGGUACAAACUCCCUAAAGUUCAUAAUAACAUAGACAGAUAAAUUCUUUGAAAAUGUUACGCCAGCGGUACACACUUCCAGAUAUGCAUAAUCACACAGAAAAAAUCACACUGAAAAAAAUAGAAGGUAAACGACUUUUAAAUGUAUAAUUCUUAAUUUAUUUUUUAAUUAUAAAACAUGUAAUAAUAAAUACAAACACACACAAAGGUAUACCAUUAUGUUCGCAAUCCACCAGUCAGUAGGUCAGAAAAUUUAUAAAAGAGUGUGAAUGAUUCAAUAUUUUUUUAUGACUAACUAAAAUUAAUUAAUUCUUUUAUAAAAAAUACAUAACAUUUUUUUCAACAUGUGAA